Molecule: long non-coding RNA, 260 nt
Filed under: Elaeis guineensis (African oil palm)
Lineage: Eukaryota; Viridiplantae; Streptophyta; Magnoliopsida; Arecales; Arecaceae
Description: long non-coding RNA (EGUI_LNC034616)
Source: RNAcentral
AUUCUCCUUAUCUCGAUAGAUGUUUCGAGUUCCGUGGGGGUUGUAAUCCUUGUCGCUGUCGUUCUCCCUACCUGGCACGCCAAAACCUGUUGCGGCCAAUCCCCUCGUCGCCUGGUCGUCGGGAACGAGCGUCUGCAAAAGAAGUCCGCACUGAUCGGAGGUGACUCCUGCGGAGACCCUCCGACGGUCAAGUCAGAGAGGAGACUAGGCAAAUGUAGAAAAGAAUCAAGGAGCUCAACGAGAGAGGGUGCAAGUGAGGG